AGAACGGCUUGAAUAUGAAGCAAAAAAACUGCAAAGCUAUGUAAAGGAAAAGACCCUUCUAAUUUCAGAAAAAGGUGUGCUUGCUGACAUGAUUAGCCCGGGUGUGCUUAGGUCCUUAGUAACCUUAACAGACAAACCAAAGUAAACUAGGCUUGUAAACUUAACCUUACCUGUUCAAUAAUUGUUUUGCAAAUGCUUUGUGUUACCUCCCUCGUUUACUUUUCCAUGUUCAGUUUCAACUCGGACAAGGAUUGAGCUUUAUUUCAAAUUAUGUGCCAUUAUUUGUAGUGUUCAUAUUUAGCUUCAGUUAAAUGGUAUGGUGGCUUCCAGAAUUGCUUUCUUCUGAGUAUUGUAUCUUGCUAGGCCACCAACUGCCGCAUUCAUCUUAAUAUCUUGAUGGUCCAGCUGGGAAUAUGCAAAUGUACAUUUCAUCCUAAUUUCAUUCGACUUGAUUUUUGUAAUCAAGUAAAUUAUGAACAUAUUAUAUGCUUCAACACAUGGACUAUUGAAAAGAAAAAUGAAUGGUGUAUUGUUGUUGAUAUCUUUUUAAAGCUUGAGUGCAUGCAACUUCAGUUUUAAAAUGUUAGAGAAAUAAAAAUGGGUUCGCUUGUUUUGCAAUGGGUGUUCCCCUCAGCUUCCCCCUUCUCUUCUAUCUGAAAACUUAGCAUGCGUAAGUGCAGAUAUUGCAUCAUGAUAGUUUAGGAAAAAACUCUUUUUCUGGUUUGGUCACUGAAGACGAUACUUAAUAGUUCUGAUAUGAACUCGUAUAACAUUUUUGUUGAUCUAUAAUGGCUGUGAUGAUGCCAUGAUGCCCCCAUAUAGCGUUCUGUUAAAUCUAUAAUUGUUCCUCCUAUAUCAUAGAUAACGGGACCGAGUUAUGGUGUUUUUUUUUUUUUUUUUUAACUCAUGUUUUUUCAAUUUUAUUGUUUGAAAUUUGAUUUAAUUGAAUAUUAGGCUAUGUAAUUUAUUUUUUUGUAUGGGAUUUUUCACUUGUUUUAAACAUAUCUCAGGUUUUUUAUAUUUUUUUAUUAGAUUUAACUUUUUUAAAAGAUUUUUUUAAAUUAAAUUAGAUUGAUUGCUCGAUAUUUAUUUUUAAAAUUAUAUUUUUAUCCAAUAUAUCACUAUCUUUAUUUAUUUUAAUAUUUUUUUAAGGUAAGGUUGAAAAAACAUUUAUUUCGCAGCUUAGUGUUAUGUUUAUUUUUUUAAACUCAUGUUUUUUUUUUUUCAAUAUUUUAUUUAUUUGAAGAUUGGAUUCUUUUUAUGAUUUCUAUAUGGUUUUUCACUUAUUUAAAAAAUUAAAGGGUUAUCUCAUAUCUUUCUAUUUAUUCUUCAUUGUUAUUUUAAUCAUAAUAUUAAAUUGAGGGUAAAUUACCCAAAUCUUGAAUUUAUAUAUAUAUAUAUAUUUCAAACCAUUUUAGAUUUGAUGGAGUUAUUUUUUUAGAUUUUUUAAAUGAAAAUCCAUAUUUAUUUUAAUUUGAAUUUUAUAGUGUUAUUGUUUACUCAUGUUUCAAAUAAAGAGUUUUCGCAAGUUAAAAAUAAUUUAUUGUGGUUAAUUUAAUAUAUUAGCUUCUUAAUAUUUUCUUUUAAAAUACAAUUUAUUAUAUCACCAUGUCGAUGUUUUAAAUUUUUUAUAUCCAUUAUAAAAAUUAUAAUUUCAUACCUGAUAUAAUAAAUAAAUUUUAAAAUAAAAAAAUUAAACUACCCCAGUUAGAGCCACUAGACCCUACCUAGAAAUGUUAUCAGCCCAACAUGACCCAAAAUCAAUUAAAAUCACACGGCUAGGAUUAGCUUUCCGAUACAUAAAUAAAAACCAGGGCAUGCCGCCUCAUAGUAAUAAGCCUUCGAGGAGAAGAGAGGGAGCCGUCUUCAGACAUCUCGUGCCACAACAAUGGGUGAGCAAGCAUUCAUCUCCUUCCAAAAACACUCUUAGAUUCUGCUUUGUUUCGACCCCUUUUCAUAUUUCAAUCCUCAGCGCUCUGUGUUGUUUCUGAGAUCUUGUUUGUUUAUUUUGGUUAGAAAACGAGAUUGAUUUUUUUUUGCAUGCAAUUAGAUGAACUUGAUCUUGUUGAUGAUUUUAUCGAACUACAUGAUUGAUGUGGUUCAGUUAACUUUUUAAACCAUGUCGAAAACAGAAGGUUUUAGACAGGGUUCGUGAUUCAAUCACUGAUUUUUUCAUGCACUUGAAAUAUGAAAUGGCCUCAUUAAGUGGCGUUGCUUUCUUUCUUUUUUGGCAUUUUUUUGGAGACUACUAGAUGGAGAAUAGAAACGCGGGGUUUGGUUAUAAUUUGUGAUUUUUGAAUUAAUGAUGAGUGUGUUGAUGUAUAGGGGCUUACAAGUAUGUUUCGGAGCUAUGGUAGUUUCAUAAUCUUCAUCAAUCGAAGGUAGCUUUUAUAUGUCAUUUGAGAUUUAACAUGCAAAGUUUCAAUCAUGAGGCUAACCAUAACAUGUUUUCAACGGAAUUUCUCCAUGAAGCACAAAAACUGAAAAUAAUAGUUUAUUGAGACACCUUGCAACAAUUUGCAUAUUCUCUCUCAAUGGAGAAAAAAACUCAAGUGACACAUUAUGCAGAGCAUCACAUGAUGAACACUUCACAAAUCAAGUAGAAAAAAAAGGGAAAAAAAACUCACCUGGGAAUGCAUAGCCUCCACGGAGUAAAUUCUCAAACCCUAAACCAGUGCCUUUACAUAUUCUCUUAUAACCCCCCAAAAAAAUGGAUGAAGGAAUGCAGCAAUUCCAACAAAGCAUAAUCGAGCUUGAAAACGAAGCCGAGCAUCUCCUAUUAGCUCGAAAUCAGGUACACUUUAAAACCUUUAAAAAAUAUCUUUGCAAAUUAUCCUUUCCAAGAAUUCACUCUGUUUUAUUUUUAUCAGGUGAUUGAAAAUGAUAAAGAGAGGAACGGAAACAGAGAAGCAUUGACAGCUUUAAGGAAGAGAGCCAAGACUACAAAAACGAGCAUAAAGUUUCCUUUUGAGUCGAUAAUGAAGGAUAUUGGGAAGCCGGGAUCAAGGACUGCUCCUUUAGUGAAAGAAAUUUGUGGGACUUGUGGUAAUCAUGACGAGAAAGAGAAAACUUGGAUGAUGUUUCCAGGAAGUGAUGUUUUUGCUUGCAUUCCAUUUCAUGCUGCUCACACUAUCUUGGAUGGAGGUAUUUUUUUUUUGUUUUUUUAAUUAGAAAAUACUGGGUUUUGAUUGCAAGAGAAUUAUAUGUUUAUGAUGGGUUUUAAUUUGAUGAUUUGUCAAUGUAGUGGAAUUAUUAAUCGUUUGGUUUAACGCGUGCAAUAUGUUUUGGAAGUUAAGUUUAAGGUUAUUACGUACCCUAGUAAAACUUGUUUUAUCAAGUUUUUCGUUGGUUUAGUGUUUUUUAUUUGUGCUCUUGUCUGAUAAAUUAGAGGUGCGAAUAAUGAAGUGGGUUUUCUUUGUCUUCUGGUUCUGUUUCUCUGCCGAGAACACGAGGGACUUUAGGAAUAUAUGGUUUGCUUGACAUUUAAAUUGGAUGUAGAAGACACUUGGGAGAUCUUAUUUUUUUGAGAACCUUGUAUUUGAAGGUCUUAUGUUGCCUAUUCUCAAUGAGGACUGAUAUGGUUUGUCCUAUUGGGCCAAAAGAUAGGGUAUUCUUCUGUUUCCGGAGUUAGUUGAUUGAGAGUGAAUUUAUGCAUUGCACCAAUGCUCCUAGCUUGUUUUAGAACUUUGAACCCUAUUUCAAGGAGGAACUAUUGCUUCAUGAGAAAAGGUUUAUAUGUAGACAUUUGAUCUGAUAUUUAUAUGAUUUUCCUUGUUCUUGAAAAACACGUAUAAUGUACUUGGACAAGUAUGAUUUGUGAAGUGUUCAUCAUGUGAUGCUCUGCAUAAUGUGAUGUUCACUUGAUUUGAGUUUUUUUCUCCAUUGAGAGAGAAUAUGCAAAUUGUUGCAAGGUAUCUCAAUAAACUAUUAUUUUCAGUUUUUGUGUUUCAUGGAGAAAUUCCGUUGAAAACAUGUUAUGGUUAGCCUCAUGCUUGGAACAUGAUUGAUCAUUGAUAUAGACUUUUACUGUACUAUAUUUUUCUUUCAGCAAAUUUCAAUGACAGUUCCUUAAUCUUGUGUUUGCUGUGGCGCAGAUCAAGAACGGCUUGAAUAUGAAGCAAAAAAACUGCAAAGCUAUGUAAAGGAAAAGACCCUUCUAAUUUCAGAAAAAGGUGUGCUUGCUGACAUGAUUAGCCCGGGUGUGCUUAGGUCCUUAGUAACCUUAACAGACAAACCAAAGUAAACUAGGCUUGUAAACUUAACCUUACCUGUUCAAUAAUGGUUUUGCAAAUGCUGUGUGUUAGCUCUCUCGUUUAUCUUUCCAUGUUCAGUUUCAACUCGGACAAGGAUUGAGCUUAAUUUCAAAUUAUGUGCCAUUAUUUGGAGUGUUCAUAUUUAGCUUCAGUUAAAUAGUAU
RNAcentral lists this long non-coding RNA (4416 nucleotides) under Populus trichocarpa (black cottonwood). Its description in RNAcentral is "long non-coding RNA (PTRI_LNC000656)". Lineage: Eukaryota; Viridiplantae; Streptophyta; Magnoliopsida; Malpighiales; Salicaceae. The record is from RNAcentral.